CGGGAAGUAGCGCAGCUGGCUAGCGCGUCUGGUUUGGGACCAGAAGGUCGCGAGUUCAAAUCUCGCCUUCCCGACCA
Molecule: transfer RNA, 77 nt
Filed under: Candidatus Omnitrophota bacterium
Lineage: Bacteria; Pseudomonadati; Candidatus Omnitrophota
Description: tRNA-Pro
Rfam family: tRNA
About the family: Transfer RNA (tRNA) molecules are approximately 80 nucleotides in length.
Source: RNAcentral